RNAcentral lists this ribosomal RNA (591 nucleotides) under Rhodymenia sp. ARS-2011. RNAcentral describes it as "eukaryotic LSU rRNA". It matches the Rfam family "Eukaryotic large subunit ribosomal RNA", at positions 1284 to 1899 of the family's 3401-position model. The record is from RNAcentral. Lineage: Eukaryota; Rhodophyta; Florideophyceae; Rhodymeniales; Rhodymeniaceae.
AACAACUCACCUGCCGAAUGAAUUAGCCCUGAAAAUGGAUGGCGCUAAAGCGGGUAGCCGACACCAUGCCGUCUGUUUAAGUGAUAACAGAUGAGUAGGAGGGCGUGGUGGCCGUAUCGAAGCAUGCUUGCAAAAGCGUGUGGAACGGCCACUAGUGCAGAUCUUGGUGGUAGUAGCAAAUAUUCAAGCGAGAUCCUUGAAGGGCGAAGCGGGGAAGGGUUCCACGCGAACAUUGAUUGGGCGUGGGUGAGUCGUUCCUAAGCCGAGUGGCCAUUGCUAAAUACCGGCGAAAGGGAAGCGGGUUUAAAUUCCCGCACACGGAUGUGGAGGCGGUGACGCUUUACUGAGGCGAAUACGCUGGCGGUGGCGCUGGGCAGAGAUGUCUUUUCUGUUUAACCAUUUAUCAAGCAGUGUGGAAUCCGCUUGUCGGGAGAAACACGCUUGGGAGGGAAGAGCGCCGGGCUUUUUCCGGCGUCCAGCUCGCCACCGACGGCCCUUGAAAAUUUGCCUGCUGAUUAAAAUCCACGCCGUGGCGUACCGAUAACCGCAUCAGGUCCCCAAGGUGAACAGCCUCUGUCCAAUAUGAACAAU